GCCGGGCGCGGUGGCUCAAGCCUGUAAUCCCAGCACUUUGGGAGGCCGAGGCGGGUGGAUCACGAGGUCAGGAGAUCGAGACCAUCCUGGCUAACAUGGUGAAACCCCGUCUCUACUAAAAAUACAAAAAAUUAGCUGGGCAUGGUGGUGCGUGCCUGUAGUCCCAGCUACUUGGGAGGCUGAGGCAGGAGAAUCUNNNNNNNNNNAGAUUCUCCUGCCUCAGCCUCCCAAGUAGCUGGGACUACAGGCACGCACCACCAUGCCCAGCUAAUUUUUUGUAUUUUUAGUAGAGACGGGGUUUCACUAUGUUCGCCAGGCUGGUCUUGAACUCCUGACCUCGUGAUCCACCUGCCUU
RNAcentral lists this non-coding RNA (355 nucleotides) under Chlorocebus sabaeus (green monkey). The record is from Rfam by way of RNAcentral. Lineage: Eukaryota; Metazoa; Chordata; Mammalia; Primates; Cercopithecidae.